CGAGCGGGCCACGUGAUCGCCCCGAGAGAUCGGGGAGGAAAGUCCGAACUCCGAACUGGCGGCAUGCCGGGUAACGCCCGGUCGCGGCGACGCGAAGGAAAGUGCCACAGAAAACAAACCGCCUUCCCCGGGCUCACGCCCCGGGACGGCAAGGGUGAAACGGUGCGGUAAGAGCGCACCGCUCCGCCGGCAACGGCGGGGGCACGGUAAACCCCAUGCGGAGCAAGGCCAAAUAGGGGGGCAGCGGGCGCCCGUCCCGCCUCACACACCGUGAGCUGCCUCCGGGUCGGCUGCUCGAGCCCGAGGGCGACCUCGGGCCAAGAGGAAUGAUCGCGACCCCGGCUUGGGCCGGGGCACAGGAUUCGGCUUACAGGCCCGCUCGGGGC
This 386-nucleotide RNase P RNA is filed under the name Acidobacteriota bacterium. RNAcentral's name for it is "RNase P RNA component class A". It matches the Rfam family "Bacterial RNase P class A". From Rfam's summary of the family: Ribonuclease P (RNase P) is a ubiquitous endoribonuclease, found in archaea, bacteria and eukarya as well as chloroplasts and mitochondria. Its best characterised activity is the generation of mature 5'-ends of tRNAs by cleaving the 5'-leader elements of precursor-tRNAs. Cellular RNase Ps are ribonucleoproteins. The record is from RNAcentral. Lineage: Bacteria; Pseudomonadati; Acidobacteriota.